UAGGGAAUCUUCGGCAAUGGACGAAAGUCUGACCGAGCAACGCCGCGUGAGUGAAGAAGGUUUUCGGAUCGUAAAACUCUGUUGUUAGAGAAGAACAAGGACGUUAGUAACUGAACGUCCCCUGACGGUAUCUAACCAGAAAGCCACGGCUAACUACGUGCCAGCAGCCGCGGUAAUACGUAGGUGGCAAGCGUUGUCCGGAUUUAUUGGGCGUAAAGCGAGCGCAGGCGGUUUCUUAAGUCUGAUGUGAAAGCCCCCGGCUCAACCGGGGAGGGUCAUUGGAAACUGGGAGACUUGAGUGCAGAAGAGGAGAGUGGAAUUCCAUGUGUAGCGGUGAAAUGCGUAGAUAUAUGGCGGAACACCAGUGGCGAAGGCGGCUCUCUGGUCUGUAACUGACGCUGAGGCUCGAAAGCGUGGGGAGCAAACAGG
This 429-nucleotide ribosomal RNA is filed under the name Chloroflexota bacterium. Its description in RNAcentral is "Chloroflexi bacterium partial 16S ribosomal RNA". It matches the Rfam family "Bacterial small subunit ribosomal RNA", at positions 355 to 776 of the family's 1533-position model. Lineage: Bacteria; Bacillati; Chloroflexota. RNAcentral also lists the same sequence under 1 other name. The record is from RNAcentral.